AAACAUGAUGAAAUCUGGAUAUAGGAAGUGCCGUCAGAUGCGAUAACUGACGAGAACCUUUUCCUGUUCUGACU
Small nucleolar RNA from Xenopus tropicalis (tropical clawed frog), 74 nucleotides. The record is from Ensembl. NCBI's taxonomy places the organism in Eukaryota, Metazoa, Chordata, Amphibia, Anura, Pipidae.